Molecule: long non-coding RNA, 923 nt
Organism: Mya arenaria
Lineage: Eukaryota; Metazoa; Mollusca; Bivalvia; Myida; Myidae
Exons: 3
Source: RefSeq, a predicted model, not a curated record
UUAGAAAAUAGUCCAUCAUGGCCGACCAAGGAGAUGUUUAAACAAUCAGCGAUAUGUUAGACCAAAGACAGAAUGAGGGGCGAACUGUUACCACUUAUUUGUAUACGACGCACCGUUCGACAAGUUGAUGAGGUGGCCGGUCUAAGUCAGUCUACAAGCACAACGAAUUCUUACAUCGGACUUGAGUAUGUCACACGUGAGCGCUCGAUGGGUCCCUAGACUACUCACAGUGGAAGAAAAGAUGUUCGAGUCAAAGCAUCAAGAACGUUCAUUCGAAAAGUUGGAAGAGAUCCAUCCUACAUCGCGCGAAUUAUAACAACAGACGAGACUUGCGUCUAUUACUUUGAACCAGACAGUAAACAGGCAUCAAUGGUUUGGAAGCAGGCCGACAGUCCACCUCCUAUAAAGGCGAAGGCAGUAAAGUCGAUGGGAAAGGUGAUGUGCAUCGUCUUUAUAGACAUGCAAGGUGUCAUAUUGGUGCAUAUGGUCAAGCCCGGACAGACGGUCAACUCAAGCUACUAUUCGCAGAUGCUACGCCGCGAUCUCAUGCAUGCGCUACGGAAGAAGCGCCCAGACAUGGCAGCUCAGAUUAAAAACGUAGUAUUGCACCAUGACAACGCCCCAAGCCAUACCACCACGAACACACGAUUAGACAUCGAUGUGUUAGGGUUCCAGUGAGCUAUCCAUCCACCAUAUGCCCCCGAUCUUGCCACAUUGGAUUUCGCAUAUUUUGCAAAGUUGACAUUUUUGCGUGGCACGGUUUAAUGAUAGAACUGAGAUCAGCCAUGCGAUACAAACAUUUAAUCGCGCAUUAGACCGUGAAUGGUUCAUGAACGUUUAUGAGAACUGGGCAAGAAGCCGCCAUAAGUGUAUCGCACAUCAGAGUGAAUACUUUGAGAAUGCAUAAUAUGUGACAUUAUUAU